UACGGAGGGUGCAAGCGUUGUCCGGAUUUAUUGGGCGUAAAGAGCUCGUAGGCGGUUUGUCGCGUCUGCCGUGAAAGUCCGGGGCUUAACCCCGGAUCUGCGGUGGGUACGGGCAGACUUGAGUGAUGUAGGGGAGACUGGAAUUCCUGGUGUAGCGGUGAAAUGCGCAGAUAUCAGGAGGAACACCGAUGGCGAAGGCAGGUCUCUGGGCAUUAACUGACGCUGAGGAGCGAAAGCAUGGGGAGCGAACAGG
This 253-nucleotide ribosomal RNA is filed under the name uncultured bacterium. Its description in RNAcentral is "partial 16S ribosomal RNA". It matches the Rfam family "Bacterial small subunit ribosomal RNA", at positions 524 to 776 of the family's 1533-position model. The record is from RNAcentral.